UCUGUGCUGAUCUUUAGCUUCUGGGUUUC
RNAcentral lists this non-coding RNA (29 nucleotides) under Mus musculus (house mouse). Lineage: Eukaryota; Metazoa; Chordata; Mammalia; Rodentia; Muridae. The record is from RNAcentral.